This 336-nucleotide ribosomal RNA is filed under the name Sandaracinomonas limnophila. RNAcentral's name for it is "Cytophagaceae bacterium FSY-15 partial 23S ribosomal RNA". It matches the Rfam family "Bacterial large subunit ribosomal RNA", at positions 1 to 351 of the family's 2925-position model. Lineage: Bacteria; Pseudomonadati; Bacteroidota; Cytophagia; Cytophagales; Flectobacillaceae. The record is from RNAcentral.
AUAAGUGAAAUAAGGGCGUAUGGGGGAUGCCUAGGCUCUUGGAGGCGAAGAAGGACGUGUUAAGCUGCGAUAAGCCCUGGGGAACUGCACAAGAGUGUUGAUCCGGGGAUUUCCGAAUGGGGCAACCCACUGGAUGGAAGAUCCAGUAUCCUAAAAUAGGAGGCAAACCUGCUGAACUGAAACAUCUAAGUAAGCAGAGGAAGAGAAAACAAAAGUGAUUCCGUAAGUAGUGGCGAGCGAAAGCGGAUUAGCCCAAACCAGUAUUGUUUAGGCAAGACUGGGGUUGUAGGACUUCGAUAUCUGUACAUAAGAGGAACAAGAACUGUCUGGGAAGGC